GAUGAACGCUGGCGGCGUGCCUAAUACAUGCAAGUCGAGCGAACAGACGAGGAGCUUUCUCCUCUGACGUUAGCGGCUGACGGGUGAGUAACACGUGGAUGACCUACCUAUAAGACUUGGAUAACUUCGGGAAACCGGUGCUAAUACCGGAUAAUAUAUUGAACCGCAUGGUUCAAUAGUGAAAGACGGUUUUGCUGUCACUUAUAGAUGGAUCCGCGCCGCAUUAGCUAGUUGGUAAGGUAACGGCUUACCAAGGCAACGAUGCGUAGCCGACCUGAGAGGGUGAUCGGCCACACUGGAACUGAGACACGGUCCAGACUCCUACGGGAGGCAGCAGUAGGGAAUCUUCCGCAAUGGGCGAAAGCGUGACGGAGCAACGCCGCGUGAGUGAUGAAGGUCUUCGGAUCGUAAAACUCUGUUAUUAGGGAAGAACAAAUGUGUAAGUAACUAUGCACGUCUUGACGGUACCUAAUCAGAAAGCCACGGCUAACUACGUG
Molecule: ribosomal RNA, 497 nt
Filed under: uncultured bacterium
Lineage: Bacteria
Description: partial 16S ribosomal RNA
Rfam family: Bacterial small subunit ribosomal RNA
Source: RNAcentral